Molecule: long non-coding RNA, 2172 nt
Organism: Neofelis nebulosa (Clouded leopard)
Lineage: Eukaryota; Metazoa; Chordata; Mammalia; Carnivora; Felidae
Exons: 2
Source: RefSeq, a predicted model, not a curated record
CAGAUUUCCUCUCAAGGUUAGCAGAGAACUGGGACGUGACUGAAUAGGUAAAGGGCAACAUAAGUUUUAUUUAUUUUGUUUUAAAGUUAAGGAGUUUAAAAUAAGUAAAGUUAGGAGAUAGUUAAUGCUUAUUCAUAUUUUAAGAGAAGAACCCAGUAGAGAAGUAAAAAACGGACGACUCGGAACAGCGGGUAGAAGCAGCGCACCAGAAGGCAGGGGAGCACGCAACGCGCAGGCGCACGGAGGGUCAGAUUCCAAGAGGGACGGAGACGCCCACUCACUGCAACAGCAAGGUGGGCCGCAUUCGCGGGCACAGAAGCAGGCGGUCAAUGGAUUCAGUGGUGAGAAGAUGAAAUGAACAACAAUAGCAACAAAAAGCAGGAGAAAGAAGUACUGAAGCACAUCUAUAGUUUCUGUUUACAAAUUAACUAUGAGUUAACUACUGAGAACUACAAAUUAACCGGUUACUGGCAUACGGAUUUUAACACAUCCGUGUUGAACUUUAAAGCACCCUUUUGAGUCUGGGAAGGGUGGCCCGUGACAGAAGUGCAUGUUGGCAAGGGGAGGAGCGGCAGCCGGCUCGCCUGUCACUGCUGAGGCCGAGGAAAGUGCCUUCCAAGUGCAUUCCCUCAGCACUCUAAGGACGCAGUGACGGCGAUCACGUGACGGCCACCUAAGGAGAAGCAGGCCCCCCACACGCCAAGUUCACAGCAACGUGCAAACAAACCACACAGGAGGCUCCGUGACUCGGUCUGCAUAAGGGCUGGCCUUCACCGCUAGAAAACACUCUACCGCUAAAGGAACAGACUAAGGAAUCAAAAAAGGCACAGAAAUUGAUCCUUUCCCGGAUGCUUCAAGAUGAACAGCCUCCCGCAACUUGAAGACCCUGGUGAGGUUUCCGCGUCCCUCUCAUCCCGCAACCAAAACCAUCCGAGCACAUGGAAGGGUCCUGCAGAGGACACAGUGCCCUGACCAGCAUGAGCCCGCACAGCCUCGCUGUCCGCACGGACUUCUGCACGACGUGCUUCACGGGGAAGGCACAAACUGGUUUUCUAGGAAACAGUCUGUAAACUGCCUAAUUGAUAACCAUCAAUCUUAAUACAUCAGAUUAUCCUCUCUGUUAUAUAUUUUUGAAAACCAUUUCAGGAAUGAUCCUUCCUCGACAAAUACUUUAAUGCUAACUGUAACGAUAGAAAUCAGAUAAAGAAAUGAUGCCCUUCCCAAGGCAAGUACAGUCUUGUGGAGAAACCUAGAGCUUGCUGUAGAAUAAUCAUUUGUGAGAGGAACUAAAGUAUGGGCUUUAAAAACUGGAACAGCACUGCACAUCAUUUUCAAGGCUAAAGAAAUCAAUUUGCUCAGUCAGUUCCAUAGCACAGCAGGUGUGAAGUCUGCUGAAAAUGGCUUGAUAUUUCUAACAUAAUUGCCUACCAAAAUUCAUAUUAAAACCACUUCAAAGCCACAACAACAUAUACUCUGAACUCAAUUUCAAACGGAUUACAAGUCAGGAACCCCGCUGGGUCGUGCUUUUGCCUACAUAUUUGUUAUUAUUAAAAAAAGAAAAGGGAAAAACUAAAUGCAGUCCAUGCAGCAGCCUCCUGAUAAAAGGAUUAAAAUGGUCAUAAUGCAGUUUUUUGUUUUAUUUUCAGAACUUUUACUUCUGUCUAAUUACAGACCUGGAAAGAACAGUGAUCUAGGUCUAUGGCCUAAGCAUCUAUCUAAGCCAGGGGUGGGCACACUACAGCUUCUGGGCCAAAUCUCGCCUGCCACCCAUUUUUACAAAUGCACUUUGACUGGGACAUGGCCACACCCAUAUGUUCUGUAUCACCUGUGGCUGCUUUCAUGCCACAGCAGCAAAGCUGGAGAGCAGUGACAGAGACCAUAUGGCAAAGCCUAUUUCCUUGUCUGGCGUUUUACAGAAAAAGUCUGCUGACCUCUGAUCUAAACUAAUGGCUUAUUUUGGAAAUUUUACUUCAAAUUUUAUUUAAAAUGUUUACUUUUAUUAAUCUUUAUAUUUCCAUUUCUAAGGGAAAAUGGGGAAAAAAAUCAUCUCCUCAGUAACUGAGUAUUAUAUAUUCCUUGACUAUCUUAAGUAAAAAUAUCUCUAGAAACUGUUUCAAAUUGCAGAAGCUUACAACUAUUAAAAAUAAGAUAAUAAAGUCUUAGGAGACUUAA